GCCCUCGUAGUAUAAA
Molecule: transfer RNA, 16 nt
Filed under: Macaca nemestrina (pig-tailed macaque)
Lineage: Eukaryota; Metazoa; Chordata; Mammalia; Primates; Cercopithecidae
Description: partial tRNA-Thr
Source: RNAcentral